Molecule: ribosomal RNA, 253 nt
Filed under: uncultured bacterium
Lineage: Bacteria
Description: partial 16S ribosomal RNA
Rfam family: Bacterial small subunit ribosomal RNA
Source: RNAcentral
GACAGAGGCCCCAAGCGUUAGGCGGAAUCACUGGGCUUAAAGCGUGUGUAGGCGGGCCCGUAAGUGUCUUGUGAAAUCCCACGGCUCAACCGUGGAACUGCUGGGCAUACUGCGGGUCUUGGGCCAACUAGGGGCAGCCGGAACAAGCGGUGGAGCGGUGAAAUGCGUAGAUAUCGCUUGGAACGCCGAAGGUGAAAACAGGCUGCUGGGGUUGCGCCGACGCUGAGACACGAAAGCCAGGGGAGCAAACGGG